AUAUCAAUAAGCGGAGGAAAAGAAACUAACAAGGAUUCCCCUAGUAGCGGCGAGCGAAGCGGGAAGAGCUCAAAUUUAUAAUCUGGCACCUUCGGUGUCCGAGUUGUAAUCUCUAGAAAUGUUUUCCGCGUUGGACCGCACACAAGUCUGUUGGAAUACAGCGGCAUAGUGGUGAGACCCCCGUAUAUGGUGCGGACGCCCAGCGCUUUGUGAUACAUUUUCGAAGAGUCGAGUUGUUUGGGAAUGCAGCUCAAAUUGGGUGGUAAAUUCCAUCUAAAGCUAAAUAUUGGCGAGAGACCGAUAGCGAACAAGUACCGUGAGGGAAAGAUGAAAAGCACUUUGGAAAGAGAGUUAACAGUACGUGAAAUUGUUGGAAGGGAAACGCUUGAAGUCAGACUUGCUUGCCGAGCAAUCGGUUUGCAGGCCAGCAUCAGUUUUCCGGGAUGGAUAAUGGUAGAGAGAAGGUAGCAGUUUCGGCUGUGUUAUAGCUCUCUGCUGGAUACAUCUUGGGGGACUGAGGAACGCAGUGUGCCUUUGGCGGGGGUUUCGACCUCUUCACACUUAGGAUGCUGGUGGAAUGGCUUUAAACGACCCGUCUUGAAACACGGACCAAGGAGUCUAACAUGCUUGCGAUGUUUGGG
This 641-nucleotide ribosomal RNA is filed under the name Rhodotorula mucilaginosa. Its description in RNAcentral is "LSU rRNA". It matches the Rfam family "Eukaryotic large subunit ribosomal RNA", at positions 40 to 697 of the family's 3401-position model. Lineage: Eukaryota; Fungi; Basidiomycota; Microbotryomycetes; Sporidiobolales; Sporidiobolaceae. The record is from RNAcentral.